This 104-nucleotide small RNA is filed under the name Epilithonimonas xixisoli. Its description in RNAcentral is "Chryseobacterium xixisoli Flavo-1 RNA". Lineage: Bacteria; Pseudomonadati; Bacteroidota; Flavobacteriia; Flavobacteriales; Weeksellaceae. The record is from RNAcentral.
CUGUAGCCCGACCUGAGUGGAGCUCAUUUUUUGGGAAUUGAUCAAUUUCUUUCGAAGAUGAAAACGUGUGGCAAAAAAUAGCGGGAACGGAGGGCGGAUAAGCU